RNAcentral lists this long non-coding RNA (568 nucleotides) under Medicago truncatula (barrel medic). RNAcentral's name for it is "lncRNA gene14617". The record is from RNAcentral. Lineage: Eukaryota; Viridiplantae; Streptophyta; Magnoliopsida; Fabales; Fabaceae.
CCAGACAGAUAUCGAAGAAAUACAAUUGAUCAAUUGAAAACAAAGGUUGUUUUAUUUAAAGUAGUAGAUGCAUGCAUGAUAACAUGCAUGGUUGGUUUUUAGUUUUUGAGACAUAUAAUUCUUAAGUGGCAAUUUCCAAAGCCAUCCUCAAGUAGUCUUUUUCAAUUGCGUGACUUGCAUAUACCUCCAUCAUAAGGAUACCCCUGAGAGACACAAAUACACUCGAUGCCGCCGCAUGAAUUCCCCCUACGUUGUGAACAAGCCGUACCGGCGGUUGGACACAGCCUUGCUUCAAUGUUCAUCGUCUCGACGAUUACUGCAAAUUGCAAAGAAAGUUAAAGUUGGAACCAAUACAUAUCUAUGCAUAUAACGUAUAUAUUUAGGAAAGUUUGGUAUUAAAUUGAGCAUGUAGUAUACUAAUUUUUCAUAACAUAUAAAUAUAUCGGUGAGAAAGAUGAGCGCAAUAUUAAAAAAAAAUAUACAUACAGAAUGUGGUGAGCAUGAAGACAGCCAAAGUAACAAGCUUAACAUAAGUCAUUGUUUGAUCAAAAGAAAUAAUAAGCUAAAA